AGUGGUACCGUCAGCACCCAACUUGUUGUGUCGGGAUGGGUUCUUCCCACUUGACAGAGCUUUACGACCCAAGGCCUUCAUCACUCACGCGGCGUUGCUGCGUCAGGGUUUCCCCCAUUGCGCAAAAUUCCUC
This 133-nucleotide ribosomal RNA is filed under the name uncultured bacterium. RNAcentral's name for it is "partial 16S ribosomal RNA". The record is from RNAcentral.